This 253-nucleotide ribosomal RNA is filed under the name uncultured bacterium. RNAcentral describes it as "partial 16S ribosomal RNA". It matches the Rfam family "Bacterial small subunit ribosomal RNA", at positions 524 to 776 of the family's 1533-position model. The record is from RNAcentral.
UACGAGGGGGGCAAGCGUUGUUCGGAAUUAUUGGGCGUAAAGGGUGCGUAGGUGGUGAGGUAAGUCGGAUGUGAAAUCUCCGAGCUCAACUCGGAAAUGGCAUUGGAAACUACCUUGCUAGAGGGUUGGAGGGGGGACUGGAAUACUUGGUGUAGCAGUGAAAUGCGUAGAUAUCAAGUGGAACACCAGUGGCGAAGGCGAGUCCCUGGACAACUCCUGACACUGAGGCACGAAAGCUAGGGGAGCAAACAGG